GGGACGGUCGCCUAGUGGUCGAGGGCGCUUCACUGCUAACGAGGUAAUUAUUCAUAAUUCGAGGGUUCGAAUCCCUCCCGUCCCG
RNAcentral lists this transfer RNA (85 nucleotides) under Racocetra fulgida. It matches the Rfam family "tRNA". Rfam says of the family: Transfer RNA (tRNA) molecules are approximately 80 nucleotides in length. Their secondary structure includes four short double-helical elements and three loops (D, anti-codon, and T loops). Lineage: Eukaryota; Fungi; Glomeromycota; Glomeromycetes; Diversisporales; Gigasporaceae. The record is from Rfam by way of RNAcentral.